Molecule: long non-coding RNA, 242 nt
Organism: Gossypium arboreum
Lineage: Eukaryota; Viridiplantae; Streptophyta; Magnoliopsida; Malvales; Malvaceae
Exons: 2
Source: RefSeq, a predicted model, not a curated record
AUUGUAGGCAGUUCGUGUAUGGAUCUCAUCAGCAUAUCGUCGCAAACAGGAAAUCCCCAACCAUAGUUGGCUUGGAACUGUGAGGGAAUUCGAAGUGGCCACCCGUUCUGAAAGUUUGAUUUUCUUCUGGUGAACUGGACAUCCUUUUAUUUACGUUUGAAGUUUUGGGUUUUUAAAUGUAAUAAGGCCGCUUAAUUAUUUUUGAUGGUUUUAAUAUGUAUUACUAAGAUAGAUAUUACUUA